Molecule: ribosomal RNA, 253 nt
Filed under: uncultured bacterium
Lineage: Bacteria
Description: partial 16S ribosomal RNA
Rfam family: Bacterial small subunit ribosomal RNA
Source: RNAcentral
CACGUAGGGACCAAGCGUUGUCCGGAUUCAUUGGGCGUAAAGAGCUCGUAGGCGGUUCGAUAAGUCGGGUGUGAAAUCCCUCGGCUCAACCGAGGAACUGCACUCGAUACUGGUUGGCUCGAGUCCGGGAGGGGAUGGUGGAAUUCCCAGUGUAGCGGUGAAAUGCGUAGAGAUCGGGAGGAACACCUGUGGCGAAGGCGGCCGACUGGGCCGACCCUGACGCUGAGGCGCGAAGGCGUGGGGAGCGAACGGG